GAUGAAGAACGCAGCGAAAUGCGAUAAGUAAUGUGAAUUGCAGAAUUCAGUGAAUCAUCGAAUCUUUGAACGCACCUUGCGCCCUUUGGACAUUCCGAAGGGCAUGCCUGUUUGAGUAUCAUGAACACCUCAACUCUCACGGCUUGUCCGUGAUGAGCUUGGACUUUGGGGGUCUUGCCGGCCUGUGGUCGGCUCCUCUCAAAUGGAUCAGCUUGCCAGUGUUUGGUGGCAUCACAGGUGUGAUAACUAUCUGCGCUUGUGGUUUUCCAUCAGAUAACCUUCAGUGAUAUGGAGGUUCGCUGGAGCUCACAAAUGUCUCUCCUUAGUGAGGACAGCUCUUUGAACGUUUGAUCUCAAAUCGGGUAGGACUACCCGCUGAACUUAAGCAUAUCAAUAAGCGGAGGA
RNAcentral lists this unclassified non-coding RNA (405 nucleotides) under soil metagenome. Its description in RNAcentral is "partial contains 5.8S ribosomal RNA, internal transcribed spacer 2, and large subunit ribosomal RNA". The stretch from base 1 to 121 matches the Rfam family "5.8S ribosomal RNA", at positions 35 to 154 of the family's 154-position model. The record is from RNAcentral.